Molecule: ribosomal RNA, 468 nt
Filed under: uncultured bacterium
Lineage: Bacteria
Description: partial 16S ribosomal RNA
Rfam family: Bacterial small subunit ribosomal RNA
Source: RNAcentral
GACGAACGCUGGCGGCGUGCUUAACACAUGCAAGUCGAACGGAAAGGCCCUGCUUUUGCGGGGUGCUCGAGUGGCGAACGGGUGAGUAACACGUGAGUAACCUGCCCUUGACUUUGGGAUAACUUCAGGAAACUGGGGCUAAUACCGGAUAGGAGCUCCUGCUGCAUGGUGGGGGAUGGAAAGAUUCGGCGGUUGGGGAUGGUCUCGCGGCUUAUCAGCUUGUUGGUGGGGUAGUGGUUUACCAAGGCUUUGACGGGUAGCCGGCCUGGGAGGGUGGCCAGCCACAUUGGGACUGAGAUACGGCCCAGACUCCUACGGGCGGCAGCAGUGGGGAAUAUUGCACAAUGGGCGGAAGCCUGAUGCAGCAACGCCGCGUGCGGGAUAACGGCCUUCGGGUUGUAAACCGCUUUCGCCGGUGACGAAGCGUGAUUGACGGUAAUGGGUAAAGAAGCACCGGCUAACUACGUG